UACAAGGUAGCAUAAUCCUUGUCCCCUCAUUAGGGACUGGAAUCAAAGGUUAAACGAGAGCUUAGCUGUCUCACCCGUAUCCAUAAAAAUUUACUUUCAAGUGAAAAGGCUUGAAUAAAACAAGAGGACAAGAAGACCCUAUGGAGCUUUAGGGGAAAAGUUUAAAAGAACAAAUAUUUUAUAAAAAGUUUACGAAAUUAAAAACUUUAGUUGGGGCAACUGAGGUACAAUAAAAACUACCUUUAAAAGAAAUAUUGAUAAAUAUGAAUUUAAAACUAAAGAUCCUAUUAUUAAGAUCAGGAAAACAAGCUACCCUAGGGAUAACAGCGUAAUUCCCCCUGAGAGCUCAUAUCGAAGGGAGAGAUUGCGACCUCGAUGUUGGACUAGGACAUCCCGCAGGUGCAGUAGCUUGCAAUGGUGAGCCUGUUCGGCUCUUAAAGUCCUACGUGAUCUGAGUUCAACCGGAUCCCG
Molecule: ribosomal RNA, 471 nt
Filed under: Pectinatella magnifica
Lineage: Eukaryota; Metazoa; Bryozoa; Phylactolaemata; Pectinatellidae
Description: partial 16S ribosomal RNA
Rfam family: Bacterial large subunit ribosomal RNA
Source: RNAcentral